Molecule: long non-coding RNA, 934 nt
Organism: Corapipo altera (White-ruffed manakin)
Lineage: Eukaryota; Metazoa; Chordata; Aves; Passeriformes; Pipridae
Exons: 5
Source: RefSeq, a predicted model, not a curated record
AUUCACAUGAAACAUAUUAAGAAGAGACUUUCCCUCAAAGGUGGUUCAGCAAUUUGUGAUGAAACAGGCAGAGGGGUUUGCACCCACUUCCAGGGAAUGAGAACAAAUGGAAAGGUUUGGUUUAUGAGGUACCUGAGGACAAAAACGAAAACGUUUUCAAAAUCAGUUAUUUGUGGGGAAAAGGGUGGAUAAAACCUGACAGUUGUAGCCACACGGACUGAGACCUUUAGAGCUGGUGAGUUUAAUGCCAUCCAGCACCCAGAAAUGUGAUUCUACAGUCACAUGGAGCUGCAGAAAGGCCGAGUCUGUCCCUCCUUCACUCAGCAGCAGGAGCAUUCCGUGGGUUCUGCUCAGCACUCCCAUCACCAUGGAGACGUUUGCUGUUUGGGUGGUGACGUGUGGAACCUUACCUGGAGCCUCAGUUCCUCUGCAGUUACAUCAGAUGGCCCAGAUUAGAUUUUUCCACGGUGCUGUUGCAGUUUCCACUCUGCCCAAGUGACUCGACACCACCUUUGCCAUCCCUCUGCUCUGUCUCCAACAACACAGCUCCCAGACUUUUCCCUGAAGUGACCUGGGCCUCCUUCCACUCCUCCUGAAAAUUCCUGCACCAAGACAAUGAUUCCUAGGAAAGGACAAGAGAACUUUGUGUACCAAGAACUCUGCUGACUACAAAGGGAGCCCAGAGUGACUCAUUUCACUGGAGGUGUCCAAAUUAAAUGCCAGCACUACCUGAUGAACUCUACCUCCCCCUCUUCGAACCGAUUUUAAGGCAUAAAAAAGAGUAGUUCCAUCGCCAGGUCAAAGAAACCCACGGAUUGUUUUGCUGUUCUCUCUUCGCUGCUUCAUUUGGAGACUCGUUGGUGGAAGGGGGUUUAAUCUCCUUUUAGUCAUUCUCCCACUGGAAAAUCCAUUGUUUCCCUCCCUACUCAUCUUA